This 257-nucleotide unclassified non-coding RNA is filed under the name Trichoderma evansii. Its description in RNAcentral is "partial internal transcribed spacer region". The stretch from base 1 to 46 matches the Rfam family "Eukaryotic small subunit ribosomal RNA", at positions 1786 to 1831 of the family's 1831-position model. The record is from RNAcentral. Lineage: Eukaryota; Fungi; Ascomycota; Sordariomycetes; Hypocreales; Hypocreaceae.
AAGUCGUAACAAGGUUUCCGUAGGUGAACCUGCGGAAGGAUCAUUACCGAGUACUAUAACUCAUAACCCUUUGUGAACCUUCAUACCUGUUGCUUCGGCGGGGUCACGCCCCGGGUGCGUAAAAGCCCCGGAACCAGGCGCCCGCCGGAGGAACCAACCAAACUCUUUCUGUAGUCCCCUCGCGGACGUAUUUCUUACAGCUCUGAGCAAAAAUUCAAAAUGAAUCAAAACUUUCAACAACGGAUCUCUUGGUUCUG